ACGAACGCUGGCGGCGUGCUUAACACAUGCAAGUCGAGCGGUAAGGCCCUUUCGGGGGUACACGAGCGGCGAACGGGUGAGUAACACGUGGGUGACCUGCCCUCAGCUCUGGGAUAAGCCUGGGAAACCGGGUCUAAUACUGGAUAUGACUCCAUGACGCAUGUUGUGGGGUGGAAAGCCUUGUGCGGCUGAGGAUGGGCCCGCGGCCUAUCAGCUUGUUGGUGGGGUGAUGGCCUACCAAGGCGACGACGGUAGCCGGCCUGAGAGGGCGACCGGCCACACUGGGACUGAGACACGGCCCAGAC
This 305-nucleotide ribosomal RNA is filed under the name uncultured bacterium. RNAcentral describes it as "bacterial SSU rRNA". It matches the Rfam family "Bacterial small subunit ribosomal RNA", at positions 29 to 336 of the family's 1533-position model. The record is from RNAcentral.